This is a long non-coding RNA of Hippocampus zosterae (dwarf seahorse), 621 nucleotides long. RefSeq lists it as uncharacterized. The record is from RefSeq and is a predicted model, not a curated record. Lineage: Eukaryota; Metazoa; Chordata; Actinopteri; Syngnathiformes; Syngnathidae. The transcript has 3 exons.
UUGUAUCUUUUGCGUGGGAGCUAACUGACUAAGUAACUAAGAAAAAUGUUCCGACCGAAAGGGAAGUGCAGGACAAAAUGUCCCCGGCUCGUAUCUGGGCCGAGCUUUUCUGUUGGCGACUUUCAGGUCUGCACUGUUUGUUCGCUGUUGUGCUUCUUUCUUUAUCAGGACUCGGGAGAACACGCAUCUGUGUGGCUCAAAGGUAUCACCCCCCCCCCCCCCCCCACACAAGCUCCAUCUCCACCGGCCUUAGCUCAUUCAGUAACCAAGAACUCAGCAACUCCCUCUGCUGGCCUGGGUCAAAGGUUCACCCGUCGGCUUUUGGGCGAUUCUGUGAACGAGGAAAAUGUGAGGCGUUUCUUUGCCGGGAGAAGGCAAAACUUGGAAGAAGGCAAAGUCGAAGCAAAUCCAGACAUUCCCGCUAACCUUCUGGCGCAUAUUCUGAACCUGUUUGGAGCGCCGGCGAGGAAACAUCAGCACAGACGGACGGGAGGGAGGAGGUGAGAGAAGCUGACGGCGGGGGGGAUGACGAGCCCGCCUGCGAGUCACAACAGAGGCCCCCCCCGUGUGCGGCGGCAGUGGGGGCGCCCCCAGCUCCGUUUGGCCCACGCGUCGCGUUUC